UGAACGCUGGCGGCAUGCCUUACACAUGCAAGUCGAACGGCAGCACGGGUGCUUGCACCUGGUGGCGAGUGGCGAACGGGUGAGUAAUACAUCGGAACAUGUCCUGUAGUUGGGGAUAGCCCGGCGAAAGCCGGAUUAAUACCGCAUACGAUCUACGGAUGAAAGCGGGGGACCUUCGGGCCUCGCGCUAUAGGGUUGGCCGAUGGCUGAUUAGCUAGUUGGUGGGGUAAAGGCCUACCAAGGCGACGAUCAGUAGCUGGUCUGAGAGGACGACCAGCCACACUGGGACUGAGACACGGCCCAGACUCCUACGGGAGGCAGCAGUGGGGAAUUUUGGACAAUGGGCGAAAGCCUGAUCCAGCAAUGCCGCGUGUGUGAAGAAGGCCUUCGGGUUGUAAAGCACUUUUGUCCGGAAAGAAAUCCUUGGCCCUAAUACGGUCGGGGGAUGACGGUACCGGAAGAAUAAGCACCGGCUAACUACGUG
RNAcentral lists this ribosomal RNA (484 nucleotides) under uncultured bacterium. RNAcentral describes it as "partial 16S ribosomal RNA". It matches the Rfam family "Bacterial small subunit ribosomal RNA", at positions 30 to 507 of the family's 1533-position model. The record is from RNAcentral.